GAGUUUGAUCCUGGCUCAGAUUGAACGCUGGCGGCAUGCCUUACACAUGCAAGUCGAACGGCAGCACGGGAGCUUGCUCCUGGUGGCGAGUGGCGAACGGGUGAGUAAUGCAUCGGAACGUAUCCUGGAGUGGGGGAUAACGUAGCGAAAGUUACGCUAAUACCGCAUAUUCUGUGAGCAGGAAAGCGGGGGACCUUCGGGCCUCGCGCUCUUGGAGCGGCCGAUGUCGGAUUAGCUAGUUGGUGAGGUAAAGGCUCACCAAGGCGACGAUCCGUAGCAGGUCUGAGAGGUUGAUCUGCCACACUGGAACUGAGACACGGUCCAGACUCCUACGGGAGGCAGCAGUGGGGAAUUUUGGACAAUGGGGGCAACCCUGAUCCAGCCAUGCCGCGUGAGUGAAGAAGGCCUCGGUUGUAAG
RNAcentral lists this ribosomal RNA (418 nucleotides) under bacterium enrichment culture clone ALO1_GLFRUDD03GKZ85. RNAcentral describes it as "bacterial SSU rRNA". It matches the Rfam family "Bacterial small subunit ribosomal RNA", at positions 9 to 429 of the family's 1533-position model. The record is from RNAcentral.